Molecule: long non-coding RNA, 471 nt
Filed under: Mus pahari (shrew mouse)
Lineage: Eukaryota; Metazoa; Chordata; Mammalia; Rodentia; Muridae
Description: lncRNA (MGP_PahariEiJ_G0003825.1)
Source: RNAcentral
GUUAAGAUCCAAUGGCAGAAGGUGGCAUUCCCUGGGGAGGCAUAAGUUGUGAAGUAGGAAGAGAGCAGCAGAGGCUGGUGGCACAGCACUGUAGGAGAGGAGGCCCUGACUUCACUCUGGUAAGGUAAGUGCAUAUAGUCAUUACAGAGCACUCCAAGGUACUACCUGAAAGAAACAAGGGGCAUCUCAACUGUGCACCAAGGGAGUCCAGAACAUCUUCUCACCAAGGCAGGAAGGAUGGCAAGGAACAGACUUCUUGUACUAUAAAAGCUGCAAAGGCAGGAAUCCUAUCACAGGCCACGUUCGUUCCUACUGGACAGUUGGUAUUCUCAAGUUUUUGAAACAAGUGAAGUCAACUAUGCUAGCAUUGGCUCAUCAUGGAAACAGACUAAGAAAUGGAGAAGGAUCCAUAGCUAAGCAACAUGGUGCUUGCUUAAAAUUCCAGCGCUUGGAAGAUGAAGGCAGGAGGAU